Molecule: transfer RNA, 73 nt
Filed under: Archangium sp.
Lineage: Bacteria; Pseudomonadati; Myxococcota; Myxococcia; Myxococcales; Archangiaceae
Also listed under: 1 other name
Description: tRNA-Thr
Rfam family: tRNA
About the family: Transfer RNA (tRNA) molecules are approximately 80 nucleotides in length. Their secondary structure includes four short double-helical elements and three loops (D, anti-codon, and T loops).
Source: RNAcentral
GCCGACCUAGCUCAGUUGGCAGAGCAACUGAUUCGUAAUCAGUAGGUCGCCGGUUCAAUUCCGGCGGUCGGCU